CAGAGCUCUGGGUGAUGUGGACAGUAGUGCCUGAAGAAGAGAGAAGACUGUAAGUCAGGAAGAACCUGAAUGCAGCCUCUGCGAUUACUUCACUGACCCUCAUGAAUGCAGGAAAUCAGGUUCAACACACCAGUAUCACAUCCCAGUGCUCCCAGUGCAGAACAGCUGUGAGAUCAAAUCUGACCAGAAGCUCUCCGUCAGUCUUUGAACCGGUCCCUCAGGUUGGUUUGGAAUUUUUUUCUAAACUUUUCCACUUGAGCGUUUUAUCUCCAAGCGUCACCUGAAUGCAG
Molecule: long non-coding RNA, 290 nt
Filed under: Mastacembelus armatus (zig-zag eel)
Lineage: Eukaryota; Metazoa; Chordata; Actinopteri; Synbranchiformes; Mastacembelidae
Description: lncRNA (ENSMAMG00000027146.1)
Source: RNAcentral